Molecule: RNA transcript, 645 nt
Organism: Apis laboriosa (Himalayan honeybee)
Lineage: Eukaryota; Metazoa; Arthropoda; Insecta; Hymenoptera; Apidae
Gene: RpS24
Gene name: 40S ribosomal protein S24
Exons: 5
Source: RefSeq, a predicted model, not a curated record
CACAUUUCCGAAAUUAUCCUUUUGCUGGCGGUACGAUAAUCGAACAAAAUGACGGAAGGUGCAGUUACAAUUAGAACUAGAAAGUUCAUGAGCAAUCGGUUACUAUGCCGAAAACAAAUGGUUGUAGAUGUAUUUCAUCCAGGUCAUCCAUCAGUUCGAAAAACAGAAAUACGUGAAAAACUAGCUAAAAUGUACAAAGUUACACCAGAUGUAGUUUUUGUAUUUGGUUUUCAAACUAAUUUUGGUGGUGGUAAAUCAACUGGAUUUGCAUUAAUUUAUGAUACAUUAGACUUUGCAAAAAAAUUUGAACCUAAAUAUAGGUUAGCUAGGCAUGGAUUAUUUGAAAAACAAAAACAAACAAGAAAGCAACGUAAAGAACGUAAAAACAGAAUGAAGAAGGUUAGAGGUACAAAGAAGAGUAAAGUUGGAGCUGCAUCUAAGAAGGGAAAGAAGUAGUCAAAUGCUCAUCAUUUGUACUACAAGUCUCAAGAGGGAACUUAAUUAUGAUGCUCAUAUAUAUGUAAAACAUCACGAAGACCACAAUUUGUUCAACAUGGACGUAAAAAUUAUUAUAAUAAUUUAUUAUCACAGAUAAUUAUGAUAAGUUUUACGGAAUAAAAGUGUACUCUUUUUGAUGAAAAAAAA